This 507-nucleotide ribosomal RNA is filed under the name uncultured Glomus. Its description in RNAcentral is "SSU rRNA". It matches the Rfam family "Eukaryotic small subunit ribosomal RNA", at positions 566 to 1077 of the family's 1831-position model. The record is from RNAcentral. Lineage: Eukaryota; Fungi; Glomeromycota; Glomeromycetes; Glomerales; Glomeraceae.
GCCAGCAGCCGCGGUAAUUCCAGCUCCAAUAGCGUAUAUUAAAGUUGUUGCAGUUAAAAAGCUCGUAGUUGAAUUUCGGGAUCAAUUUAUUGGUCGUGCUAUUGUACGUACUGGUAUUAUUGAUUCCUACCUUCUGACGAACCAUGAUGUCAUUAAUUUGGUGUCUUGGGGAAUCAGGACUGUUACUUUGAAAAAAUUAGAGUGUUUAAAGCAGGCAUACGCUUGAAUACAUUAGCAUGGAAUAAUGAAAUAGGACGUUUGAUUCUAUUUUGUUGGUUUCUAGGAUCGACGUAAUGAUUAAUAGGGAUAGUUGGGGGCAUUAGUAUUCAAUUGUCAGAGGUGAAAUUCUUGGAUUUGUUGAAGACUAACUACUGCGAAAGCAUUUGCCAAGGAUGUUUUCAUUAAUCAAGAACGAAAGUUAGGGGAUCGAAGACGAUCAGAUACCGUCGUAGUCUUAACCAUAAACUAUGCGGACUGGGGAUCGGAUGAUGUUAUUUUUAAUGACUC